RNAcentral lists this long non-coding RNA (946 nucleotides) under Equus caballus (horse). Its description in RNAcentral is "lncRNA (ENSECAG00000049592.1)". Lineage: Eukaryota; Metazoa; Chordata; Mammalia; Perissodactyla; Equidae. The record is from RNAcentral.
AAAACUUAUGACCACAAGGGGGCAGUAGGACGCACAAGCUUUCUUUGAGCCAGGACUUGAGAGUUUUGGGUGUGGGGAAGUCCUUCGCAGCAGGAGAACUGUCCAGAGACAGGCAAGGGUUCACGGGUGCCACCAUUUGGAAGGGGAGGAAGAUGAGUGCCAGCUGGAGAGAACUAGUGAUACCUGGGCAGCUCCUUUACCAGAGUUAACUGGAGAUGCAAAUCCUCCCACGACCUCAGUGAUUGCAUCACAUGGUGAGAGUGAGGAAGUACCACCCGAACCUAAGGAAGGAGCAGCAGCACCAGCGGCACCAGUAAAAGGCCAUGUUGGUCCAGGAGCAGGAGAGCAUCUUACAACAAAUUCCCUACUCAGGCAUGUUAGCAUGAGCCUCUUCCCUCCCUUCCUGAGCCAAAGGACAACUAGGGAUCCCAAGGCCGUGGGGCCCACCUGUCCUCAGGCCCCAGGGUAGAGGCAAUGCCUCCUGGGCACCAAGAAAGGAGCUUGCAAGAUUCAUGCACGUGACUGAGGCCAGCAUGCAGGAAGAUUAGCCCUGAACUAACUACUGCCAAUCCUACUCUUUUUGCUGAGGAAGACUGGUCCUGAGCUAACAUCCAUGCCCAUCUUCCUCUACUUUAUAUGUGGGACGCCCACCACAGCAUGGCUUUUGCCAAGCGGUGCCAUGUCUGCACCCAGGAUCCAAGCCGGCGAACCACGGGCCGCUGAGAAGCGGAACGUGCGCACUUAACUGCUGCGCCACCAGGCUGGCCCCUAGAAAUAUAUUCGAUAUGAUAUAAAUAAAUAUGUGCACAUUUGCAUGUGUAUACAUACACAUGCAUAUAUAUAUAUGUAUUAGGGAGGACUUCUGUGUGGAGACUAUACGAUGGAAAUAAUAACACUAUCUAUGUCAUAGAACUGAUGAGGGGAACAAAUGACAUAAUGCACAUAA